GACAGAGCGCGAGGCCCGGCAUUUACACGGAGCUACUGAUGUAAAUAAUGAACUUUUGUCAGUAAAAUAUGCAUUGUUUGAUAACAUGAAUGAUAACUGAUACAGAGAACACGAAUAAACAUAAAGAAGUACCAAGGAUGGACAAGAGGAAAGGAAAGGGGGGUAACAAUGGACCAACCCCAAAAAAGAAAUCCAGGUUCGAGGAGGAGGAUGACCCGUCCCAGUUUGAAGCGGACCUGGCAAUGAUGGAGGACUUUGAGAAUGACAUGAUGGAUGACGAAGCUGCUGGAGGUUCAGGAGACUGUCGACCAGGACCCGAAAUGAAGGCCCCCAAAAGCAAGUGGGCACGACCUGCUGCCCCUGACCUUGACCCCAAGACUGACACAGUGACCUUUCAGCAGUUGGACGUGGACAACUAUGUGGGGAAGCAUCUGGCCGGCAUGCCCGGGGCCACACAGGGCCCAGUGCCCAUCAUCCGGAUGUACGGGAUAACACAAGCGGGCAACAGUGUCAUGGCCCACAUCCAUGGAUUUGCUCCGUACUUCUACGUCCCAGCACAGCCGGGCUUCAAGGAGAAGGAUUGUGGGACAUUUAAGGAUGCUCUGGAGGCGGCUGUGAAGAAGGACAUGCGGUCGAACCGAGAGGGCGUGGUCCAGGCGGUGCUAGCUGUGGAUUGCGUCAUCCGAGAAAGCAUCUAUGGUUACCAUGGCAACAGAAAGAUUCCCUUUCUGAAGAUUACGGUUGCGCUGCCUCGUCUUAUCGCCCCAUCCCGCCGGCUCCUCGAGCAAGGCUUUGUGUGCCCGGGCUACAGCCAGUAUGGCUUCCAGACCUACGAAAGUAACAUAGACUUCGAGAUCAGGUUUAUGGUUGACGCCCAUGUUGUUGGAUGUAACUGGAUUGAGAUUCCCGCGGGGAAAUAUGUCCUCCGUACCAAGGAUGCUAAAGAUGGCCGACUUCCGCCUAUGUCUCGCUGUCAGGUCGAGUUGGACGUGUCGUGGGAAGAUUUUGUGUCCCAUGCUACAGAGGGGGAGUGGUCAAAGGUCGCCCCUUUCCGGAUCCUCAGCUUCGACAUCGAGUGUGCUGGGCGGAAAGGUGUUUUUCCGGAGGCUGACAAAGACCCUGUGAUACAGAUAGCUAACAUGGUGAAAAGACAGGGGGAACGUGAUCCGUUUGUCCGCAAUGUGUAUACCUUAAACACGUGUGCGCCAGUUGUGGGGUCAGAGGUCUUGUCCUUCAAGACCGAGAAAGAAAUGUUGGAGAAAUGGGCAGCAUUUGUCCGAGAUAUAGACCCUGACUUGAUCACCGGCUACAACAUACAGAACUUUGACUUCCCGUACCUGAUCAACCGGGCUGCCCACCUGAAGGUGCGCGACUUCACGUACCUGGGCCGCAUCAAGGACAUCCCCUCUGUCAUUAAGGAGUCCAUGUUCCAGAGCAAACAGAUGGGGAAGAGGGAGAACAAGGUCAUCAACAUUGAAGGCAGGACGCAGUUCGACCUGCUGCAGAUAUUGCUGAGAGACUACAAACUGCGGUCAUACACCUUGAACGCCGUCUCCUUUCACUUCCUGCAGGAACAGAAGGAAGAUGUCCAACAUUCCAUCAUCACAGAUCUCCAGAAUGGUAACGAGCAGACAAGGCGUCGGUUGGCUGUGUAUUGCCUGAAGGACGCCAUCUUGCCGCUCCGACUCCUGGACAAGUUGAUGUGUGUCAUCAACUACAUGGAGAUGGCCCGAGUCACCGGCGUGCCCCUCCCCUUUCUGCUCUCCCGAGGUCAACAAAUCAAGGUCAUGUCACAGCUGCUACGGAAGGCAAAGGAACAGGACCUAGUCAUACCCUCGCAGAAAGUAGACACAGGGGACGAGUACGAGGGUGCCACGGUCAUCGAACCGGAGAAAGGGUAUUAUGAUGCUCCCAUAGCCACACUGGAUUUCUCCUCGCUGUACCCGUCAAUCAUGAUGGCACACAACCUCUGCUACACCUCCCUCCUCAACCCAUCGGUCAUCCAGAAGGAAGGGUUGACGGCAGAGCAGUACAUCAAGACACCCAGCGGGAACCUGUUCUGCAAGUCCACAGUCAGGAAGGGUCUGCUGCCAGAAAUCUUGGAGCAUUUGCUCUCUGCCAGGAAGAAAGCUAAGGCUGAUCUGAAGAAGGAGACUGACCCGUUCAAGAAGGGGGUGUUGGAUGGCCGUCAGCUCGCACUGAAGAUCAGUGCUAACUCCGUGUAUGGAUUCACAGGUGCUCAAGUCGGCAAGCUGCCUUGUCUGGAGAUAUCUCAGAGUGUGACGGCCUUUGGUCGUAUGAUGAUUGAACAGACCAAGCAGUAUGUGGAGGAGAGAUACACCAUCGCCAAUGGAUACAAGCAUGAUGCUAAGGUUAUCUAUGGUGACACAGAUUCUGUGAUGUGCAAGUUCGGUGUGGAGACGGUUGCCGAGGCAAUGGAGCUCGGGAAGGAAGCAGCAGAGGUCAUCUCUCUCAAGUUUGUCAGCCCCAUCAAACUAGAGUUCGAGAAGGUAUACUUCCCCUAUCUUCUGAUCAACAAGAAGCGGUACGCUGGCCUGUACUGGACGAACCCAGACAAACAUGACAAGAUGGACUGCAAGGGUAUCGAGACGGUGCGGCGAGACAACAGCCCCCUGGUGGCCAACCUCAUCAACAUGUGCCUGCAGCUGCUGCUGAUUGAUAGAGAUCCAGAUGGCGCUGUGCAACACGUGAAGCAGACUAUCUCAGACCUCCUGUGUAAUCGUGUGGACAUCUCGCAACUUGUCAUCACCAAGGAGUUGACCAAGACUGAUGACGACUACGCAGGGAAGCAGGCACACGUGGAACUAGCGAACAAGAUGAAGAAGCGAGACGCAGGCAAUGCGCCCAAGCUGGGAGACCGAGUGCCGUAUGUCAUCAUCGCCGCAGCUAAGGGCACAGCAGCAUAUAUGAAGUCAGAGGAUCCAAUAUACGUCCUGGAAAACAACAUCCCAAUUGACACACAGUACUACCUGGAGAAUCAGCUGUCUAAACCACUGCUAAGGAUCUUCGAGCCCAUCCUGGGGGAAAAGAAAGCCGAGUCCGUCCUGCUCAAGGGUGACCACACCCGAACGAAGACUGUGGUAGCAUCCAAGGUGGGCGGACUGGCUGCCUUCACCAAGAAGAAGAGUACAUGCAUCGGCUGUAAGACACCUCUCAGUGUGGAAGGUGUGUCUGUGUGCAAGCACUGCAAGAGUCAGGAGUCGGCACUCUACCAGAAGGAGAUCCUGCAGUUGCAAGUUCUGGAGGAGAAGUUCUCCCGACUUUGGACCCAGUGCCAGAGGUGUCAGGGAAGUUUACAUGAGGAUAUCCUGUGUACAAGUCGAGAUUGCCCCAUAUUCUACAUGAGGAAGAAGGUUCAGAAAGACCUGGCUGAUCAGGACAAACUCAUCAUGAGAUUUGGGGUGCCGACUUGGUAGUGGCCAUGCUGCAGGACUGGUGUUGUGAGAGUGGCCUGUGUGCAGGUCAUCAUGUGUUUGUGACCUGCACAGAGGCAGCGAUGUGCUAUUGACCUGCACAGAGGCAGCGAUGUUCUAUUGACCUGCGCAGAGGCAGCGAUGUGCUAUUGACCUGCAUAGAGGCAGCGUUGUGCUAUUGACCUGCUGCAUAGAGGCAGCGAUGUGCUAUUGACCUGCACAGAGGCAGCGAUGUGCUAUUGACCUGCACAGAGGCAGCGAUGUGCUAUUGACCUGCACAGAGGCAGCGAUGUGCUAUUGACCUGCACGGAGGCAGCGUUGUGCCAUUGACCUGUAUUCAGGUGUCAAUGUGUUUCAAGUGUUUCAAGCAAGAAGUCAAAUGACAAUUCCGUGUAUAGAGUACCUACCCACUAUUCAGUAGAUUCUGUUUGGCUGCACUAGAUCUCUGUCUCAAACACAUUGCAAGACAGAAAAUGUGAGACAGUUUAUGUGUACAUUUCGGGACUGUCGACUCUUUUAUAAAGUGCCUUGUUUAUGUCAAAAUAUCGAUGAAUAAUGUGAAAAUAAAUUUCAGUGAGAAUUUUCAUUUUUGAGGAAACUCGACCAAUUUAAUAAAUAAUUUCAUUUGGGGGAAUGUAUUUCAUGCAGCUGUCAUACUUGCCCUUUUGGUAAAUUUUGGUUCAGCCAAAUAUUUGAAUCUGAUUACAACACCACUAUCAAUGUUCCAUCCAUUGCCUUGUUUGUGGUUCUGCUGUAGCCUCAGUUUCAUCUGUAUCGUAAGUUAAUGGAUGCAUCCUAGUGCUGAGAGAUUGUUUUGCUAUGACAUGUUCUGCCUGUGAGAGUCUGUGUGGUGAUUUCAGGCAAUGUAUGCAAGAAUUGGUUUUGCAAUGAACUCAAUUUGCUCAGAUGGAAAUUAUAUUGUUUGCAAUCUGAAUUGUUUGACAACAAUGAAUUGUGAAUACUGAAAUUGCUGUACAUAACAUACCACUGUACAUAUUUCAUCAAUAAACAUGCAAGCAAGA
Molecule: unclassified non-coding RNA, 4456 nt
Filed under: Haliotis rufescens (red abalone)
Lineage: Eukaryota; Metazoa; Mollusca; Gastropoda; Lepetellida; Haliotidae
Description: dNA polymerase delta catalytic subunit-like, transcript variant X4
Source: RNAcentral